This is a long non-coding RNA of Papio anubis (olive baboon), 2647 nucleotides long. NCBI's taxonomy places the organism in Eukaryota, Metazoa, Chordata, Mammalia, Primates, Cercopithecidae. The record is from Ensembl.
AUGGGAGUUUUAUCUAUAAGCCCCGACUGGGGCUGCUGCCUUUCUUUCAGAGGUGGCCUGCUCAGAGAGGAGGAAUCUAGAGAGACAGUCUGGCUACAGUGGCUUUGUGGAGCUGUGGUGGGUUCUGCCCAGUUCGAACUUCCUGGCAGCUUUGUUUACACUGUCAGUGGAAAACCGCCUACUCAACCCUCAGUAAUGAUGGAUGCCUCUCCCCCGACCAAGCUCGAACAUCCCAGGGCAACUUCAGACUGCUGUGCUGGCAGUGAGAAUUUCAAGCCACUGGAUCUUCGCUUGCUGGGCUCUGUGGAAGGGGGAUCUGCUAAGCUAGACCACUGGGCUUCAGCCCCAUUUCCAGUUUUGGAAUCCGGAUGAUGCUGGCUUCAGAACAGAGACCUCAGUAAUAACACCACACAUGUACAACCAUCUGAUCUUUGAAAAACCUGAUGAAAACAAGCAAUAGGGAAAGGAUCUCCUAUUCAGUAGAUGGCACUGGGAAAACUGGCUAACCAUAUGCAGAAAAUGGAAACUGGACCCCUUUCUAACACCUUAUGCAAAUAUCAACUCAAGAUGGAUUCAAGACUUAAAUGUAAAACCCAAAACCAUAAAAACCCUACAAGGAAACCUAGGCAAUACCAUUCAGGACAUGGGCAUGGACAAAGACUUCAUGACAAAAUCGCUAAGCGAUUGCAAUGAAAGCCAAAACUGACAAAUGGGAUCUAAUUAAACUGAAGAGAUUCUGCACAGCAAAAGAAACUAUCAUCAGAGUAAACGGGCAACCUACAGAAUGGGAGAAAACUUUUGCAAUCUACCCAUCUGACAAAGGUUUAAUAUCCAGAAUUUACAAGGAGCUUAAACAUAUUUACAAGAAAAAACAAACAACCCCAUAAAAAAAGUGGGCAAAGGAUAUGAACAGACACUUCUCAAAAGAAGACACUUAUGUGGCCAAAAACAUAUGAAAAAAAGCUCUUCAUCACUGAUCAUCAGAGAAAUGAAAAAUCAAAACCACGGUGAGAUACCAUCUCAUGACAGUCAAAAUGGUGAUUAUUAAAAAGUCAGGAAACAACAGAUGCUGGUGAGGCCAUGGAGAAAUAGGAAUACUUUUACACUGUUGGUGAGAAUGUAAAUUAGUUCAACCAUUGUGGAAGACAAUAUGGCAAUUCCUCAGGGAUUUAAAACCAGAAAUACUAUUUGACCCAGCAAUCCCAUUACUGACUAUAUGCCCAAAGGAAUAUAAAUAAUUCUACUAUAAAGAAACACAUGCACAUACAUUUAUUGCAGCACUAUUUAUAAUAGCAAAGACAAGUGCUCAUCAAUGAUAGACUGAAUAAGGAAAAUGUGGUACAUAUAUGCCAUGGAAUACUAUGCAGCCAUAAAAAGGAAUGAGAUCAUGUCCUUUGCAGGAACAUGGAUGAAGCUGGAAGCAAUCAUCCUCAGCAAAACAAAACAAAACAAAACAAAACAAAAAACAAAAACUAACACAGGAAAGAAAACCAAACACCACAUGUUCUCACUCAUAAGUGGGAGCUGAACAUUGAGAACACAUGGACACAGAAAGGGAAACAGCACACAUCAGGGCCUGCUGGUGGGGUGGGGAAUGAGGGGAGGGAACUUAGAAGAUGGGUCAAUAGGUACAGCAAACCACCAUGGCACACAUAUACCUAUGUAACAAACCUGCACGUUCUGCACAUGUAUCCUGUUUUUGUUGUUGUUGUUGUUGUUGUUUGUUUUAGAAGAAAUAAAGAAAAAAAAAAAACACCAGAAAACAAGAAGGGACAAAAAUAAAGAGUUAUAAUUUCCAAACAAAAAUAAAAACAAAUUCCAAUCCCUCUCAGCUAGCAGGCCUUUGCCCAUUGCCUCUAACUGUGAAUAGCUGUCCACUUAGUCCAAUGUGCUGUAGGAAUAUUGAUUUCUAUGUGCACUGGCGUAGGGAAAAGAUUGAGAAUCUGAAUUGGACAGGCUUCUGAGAUUAUGUGAUUCUGAAUGGGUCUGGAAUCAGAAUCCAUCUUUUGGUAUUUGAUCUAGUGUCCUAUAAACUGUAAACUUUUUGUAUAGGAUCAUAAAUCCAGGGCUUAUCUGGAUAUAAGAAUGAAGUACUCAGAGCCAUAAUUUCUCUGGGACACAGAGUGCAAGAGCUGAGCGAUAGAACCUUGGCAGUAGUAUAAUGAAACUCAUGCCCUUUGUCAAGUAUCUAUUGCUGUUUUUGUUUUUAGUUUUCAUAUUAGGUUCUUUGUUUUUGAUAGUGUAAUUGUUUCAUAACAAAAGGAAAAAAGAACUAGUGACACGGCAGAAACUUGGAUCUGAGCAAGCACUUUUCACCACUGAUUUUACCUGCCAUUUGGACUUUCUCCAGGGCUUCCCCGACUCGUGUAUUCAUUGUAUGGAGAAGGGGCAAAGUACUCAGGAAGUCACAGGAGCAAAGAAAACAUUUUCCUAACCAUCACACCAUGAGUCUGUCUAGUGUGUGUCCUUUUCCCACUUCUUUUCUUUCUCAUACUUGUUUUCUCUCCUUCCCUUUCCCUCUUUUCCCCCCUCACCAUAGUAGUUGCUAGACUCUAAUGAUGAACAAAGCAUAAUCCUACUCUGUAGGAGUUUAAAGUCUAGCCACAGUUUUAAAUGGAGCUUGGAGUAUGAAAUGAAUUUGUUUGGC